This 424-nucleotide unclassified non-coding RNA is filed under the name fungal sp. RNAcentral describes it as "partial internal transcribed spacer region". The stretch from base 1 to 46 matches the Rfam family "Eukaryotic small subunit ribosomal RNA", at positions 1786 to 1831 of the family's 1831-position model. The record is from RNAcentral. Lineage: Eukaryota; Fungi.
AAGUCGUAACAAGGUUUCCGUAGGUGAACCUGCGGAAGGAUCAUUAACACUUAACUUAUGAAAUUUAACAACCUUCAUAUAAAAUUGUACCGCGAACCGUUGCUUCUCUCUCCCCCAGCUCUUAGCGCGAACAUACGGCAGCCAUGGUGGAGGUCCCCUGAAUAAGGUGUGGCUUUCGGCUGGACGACGUCAGACUAGGUCGGGGAGGGACAAAUCGUGCUCUUCGUCACCCCCAUUGGCGAACUUGCUAUUCUAACCAUUAUCAUUUAUUUUACCCCUGCUAAUCAUGAACUGACUGUUGAAUGGACCGUGCUUGGACUUGGAGUGAUUCGUCACGCCAGCGUUCUCGUAUGCGCUCUGUCGAUAUUCGUUAUCGAAUCAACAAUGGAAAACACAACUCUUACCAGCGGAUAUCUCGGUUCCC